Long non-coding RNA from Canis lupus familiaris (dog), 684 nucleotides. RefSeq lists it as uncharacterized. The record is from RefSeq and is a predicted model, not a curated record. The transcript is spliced from 2 exons. Lineage: Eukaryota; Metazoa; Chordata; Mammalia; Carnivora; Canidae.
UGAAGGGGGGGAUGUGGAGGUCGGGAGGUCACAGAAGUUCAAGGGCCUAAUGACGAAGGCCUUUCGGAGGACGGCUCUGACUGACUGAGAUGGGAGCCACUGCAGGCUUUGGACAUCAAUUACGCUUUCGAAGACUUCUCUGACUGCCGUGUUGAGACUCAUCAGGAGUGGGAAGAGCAGAAGAAAGGAGCCCGGCUUCGAGGCAACAGUCCCAGUGAGAGAUGAUGCUGGCUCACACAGGAGUGGUAGGAAUGGAGGUGGUGAGAAGUGUCGGAUUUCUGGAAAUAGCUUGAAAGCAGACACUGGAGGAUUGUUGUGAUCCCAGGAUCUUUGUGGGCCAUGAGUCUUGGGAAAAAGUCUUCUUUGGGAAUUCUUGCCACCCCAAAAUUUCAUGAGGAGGAUAAGCCACAGCAUGAUAUGCAGCCACAUCUAUCAUAAAUCAUGUUCAAUUCAGAUAGAACAAAGAAUGAACAACGUGUGAAGAAGAGAUGAGAGCAUUAAACAAAAAUGAGGCACAUUUGGUUAUCACUACCAAACUCCAAAAGGACAGACUUACAAUAUUUUAAGAAGACAAUUUCUUAUAGAUUUGAAUCUAUGGAGGCUAAAAAAAAAAAAGUUUCAUCAUAAUUGCUCUAACUUGCUAUUUUCAGACAUUUCCAACUGCCUAAGGAUUUUUAAAAAGGU